AUGGGAAAGGCAAGUGUGAAUUUUCGGCACGAGUGCGUUGGAAGACUGCUCGCAGUUCAUUACGGAUGCAGAAUUUCCAUACUCAUUAUUCCGAAACAAACCUCCUCAGAAGGCCCUUCUGGGACCAAUGGCAGCCGAUUUUAUUAUUCAUCUUUUGCGAGUGGUCCUGGUAAAAUGCAUCUAUCAAGGAGAAUAAUGAAACCGAAGUUACUUGAGACACCUUUCUACUUGGAGGUAACAAAAGCAGGGAACAAAAAAAAGGAUGCACGUGUGAUGGUGUAAGCAGAAACCCAGGCUCAGCUAACGCCUACCUGCAGCACACCGGGCGCAAUAACCCGCUGCAGCAGCUUCCGGGGGUAGAGGUCUAUUGAUCCAGCAGAGAUGUGCCCGUGUACAAUAACUGGGAUCUGGUAGCUGAGUUUCCUUCUGUCAUGAAAAUUGUCAAUUACAAGUACAGCUGCGUGUUCUCCAGAACAGACGCCGGUGCCUCUACCUUCAGGAGAAUCUAGCUUCAGUGCAGACGCUGAUUUUGGUUCAGUGCAGCCACUGCCCUCACCCAUGAGCAGCAGGUUAUUACCUGUUGAAUAGAAGUUUCUGCUCUGUAGCUGGGAAGAGAUAUUUUAGGAACUAUUGAUUUACCCUAAUUGCAUCUAUCUUUGUACUAUGAAAAGCUGCCAUUGCCAUGGCAAUAGCAUAAAAAAAUGGAAGAACCACUGCCCUAUAGUCGAGCAUCUUGUUGGUUUGAAUACAGCAGACAACAAACUUUUCCUACAGAGGUCAGGUACGAUCACUGUGUGAUUUAGAAGUGACCCCACAAACACAGCAGCGUGGUUUGGCAUUUAACCCAGACCCUGUACAUUCACGACUGGGCACCUUCAGGGUCUGGAAGCUGUCGCCUCCAGGCCGUGCUUUCAGCAGAACGAUGUGAGGAAAACCCAGCAGGGCUCACAAAAAGACACCUGCAACCGCAGUGCCACGCAGCAGUUCCUCUCACAGCGCUCUUUCAGAAAGCUUUACUCCCUGCAAGCUCUUUGCCUCAGUGAGGACAAGAAGGUUCUUGAGAUCUCCCUACACCCAGGAGGACAGCAAAGCUCUUGGCUUUUCCCCUCCCCAGUGACUGCCCGCCCCGUGGCUGCCCCGGCCGUGCUGAGCGCUGCCGACGCACACAGGAUCUGGGGGUGCUGUACAGGUGGGGUCCUUCACGCAGCAUGAGACAAUUCGCAUGCAAUUUGGUCUCUAACAUUGGUAAAGGUAAUCUGGAGGACAACUUAGCCUUUCCAUGCCUUCACAGCCAUAGGAAUAAAGGGUAAAGUGCUGGGACUCA
Molecule: long non-coding RNA, 1324 nt
Filed under: Anas platyrhynchos platyrhynchos (common mallard)
Lineage: Eukaryota; Metazoa; Chordata; Aves; Anseriformes; Anatidae
Description: lncRNA (ENSAPLG00000022659.1)
Source: RNAcentral